AGCGUGUUCGCUGCCGAAGUUGCCAUCUAGAGACGACCACAAGACGAACAUAGCAUGUUUGCGAUGCAAACGGGCCCGUGUUCCUACAGCAUCAAACUGUCUUGUGUCCGAAGUGUGUGCCUCGUACGUAGGUAGCAAAUUUGGCCGUCGCACUUGUCGUGGGUGGGGUCCCAUUUACUGUACAUAUCCAUUAGAUUUUGACCUCUAUGGGUCCGACACCUUUUCUGGCUGUGGAGACUUGUAAAUUGUAGUUUUAGGAAGGAUUCCCUCAAUUUAUUUUCUUAUAUAGGUUAUUUUGUAUUUUUUAUAAAUAUUUUUGUAAAUUAUUUUUUGUUAUAUACUUAUUUUUUUUAAAUAUUUGUAAUAAAUAUCAAAUUUGUA
Macrobrachium nipponense is the source of this 381-nucleotide long non-coding RNA. RefSeq lists it as uncharacterized. The transcript has 3 exons. NCBI's taxonomy places the organism in Eukaryota, Metazoa, Arthropoda, Malacostraca, Decapoda, Palaemonidae. The record is from RefSeq and is a predicted model, not a curated record.